RNAcentral lists this long non-coding RNA (1161 nucleotides) under Brassica napus (rape). RNAcentral describes it as "long non-coding RNA (BNAP_LNC016957)". Lineage: Eukaryota; Viridiplantae; Streptophyta; Magnoliopsida; Brassicales; Brassicaceae. The record is from RNAcentral.
CAACCCAAUCACCAUCUUUGAGAAGCUGAAGGCCACUGACUUUAUCGUCUUGAAACAACAAGAUGAGGCCUCCUGCAUCUGUGUGAGCCCUAAGCCCUUUGAUCAUCUCAGGAUUAGGACAUGGUGGAUAGUUGCUAACCUUUGUCCCAAAAGUUGGACCCUUCGUACCACGAAACACCUUCUUCAAGUAUCCUUUCUCCAACCCUAGAUUCUCACACAGCAAAUCCAACAGUUCUUCCGCUAGGUUCUCUAGCCUCUUCCCAAAAUCCUUCAUAGCCGUUCUGUGUUUUAAAGAAACAUGGCAAGCAAAUCAAUGGUUUAUUUUUAUAAGAUCGUUGGAGAUGUGAUUUAAGGGUGAAAGAAAUGUUUGUGUGUGUACCGGUAUUCGUCUGACAUGUUAGGGAUGUCAUAAAGAUUGGUCUGAGGGAGAUGAUGAAGGAAGAAAGUGCUUUCCCAAUCUAUAUCUUCCACUUCGGUCUCGAGAGUAUCUAAACCUUUGGAACGAAGCAUUUCCUUGAAUUUGUGUUCCAUAAAUUGCUUGUAGUGUUCCUUUGUCAUCCUCUCAAUGUUGUCCAUAAGAUCAUAUGGUAUUCCAUGGUUUAGCAGCUGAUAUUACAAAUAUCAAGAGUUAUAACGACCCAUUUUUAAAAAAAGUAUGAAAGGAAAAUGAUGUUUUCGAAGCUAGGUAUAUAAUAUUUAUUGCGUCAUUUCAUAGUUAAUAAUAACAAAUAUAUAUAUAUAUAUAUAUAAUUCAAGUUUUUCAUAUUUUAUACACCAACAAAGUUUGAGCAAAGAACAUCUAAGCUAUCAUCUCAGGAUUAGGACAUGGUGGAUAGUUGCUAACCUUUGUCCCAAAAGUUGGACCCUUCGUACCACGAAACACCUUCUUCAAGUAUCCUUUCUCCAACCCUAGAUUCUCACACAGCAAAUCCAACAGUUCUUCCGCUAGGUUCUCUAGCCUCUUCCCAAAAUCCUUCAUAGCCGUUCUGUGUUUUAAAGAAACAUGGCAAGCAAAUCAAUGGUUUAUUUUAAUAAGAUCGUUGGAGAUGUGAUUUAAGGGUGAAAGAAAUGUUUGUGUGUGUACCGGUAUUCGUCUGACAUGUUAGGGAUGUCAUAAAGAUUGGUCUGAGGGAGAUGAUGAAGGAAGAAAGUGCUUUCCCA